Molecule: ribosomal RNA, 513 nt
Filed under: Hypsolebias nudiorbitatus
Lineage: Eukaryota; Metazoa; Chordata; Actinopteri; Cyprinodontiformes; Rivulidae
Description: partial 16S ribosomal RNA
Rfam family: Bacterial large subunit ribosomal RNA
Source: RNAcentral
UAACGGCCGCGGUAUCUUAACCGUGCAAAGGUAGCGUAAUCAACCGUCUUUUAAAUGAAGACCCGUAUGAAUGGUGAAACGAAAACUCAACUGUCUCACUCUUUUGACCAAUGAAAUUGAUCUCUCCGUGCGGAAGCGGGGAUAAAUACAUAAGACAAAAAGACCCUGUGGAGCUUUAGACUAAUCAGCUUAAGCUUUACAAAUAUUCUAUGUGUAGCUUAAAUACUGCAUACAUCUUAGGUUGGGGCGAUCACGGAGAAAAAUACACCCUCCACGAAGGAAAAACAUACGUUUAAUAAUUAAGAGCUACUGCUCUAAAUGCUAAAAUAUUUAACUUUAUGAACCGGCUUGCCGAUUAACGAACCCAGCUACCCCAGGGAUAACAGCGCAAUCUCCCUAAAGAGCACCUAUCAAUAGGGAGGCUUACGACCUCGAUGUUGGAUCAGGACAUCCUAAUGGCGCAUCCACUAUUAAGGGUUCGUUUGUUCAACGAUUAAAGUCCUACGUGAUCUG